Molecule: long non-coding RNA, 202 nt
Organism: Stegastes partitus (bicolor damselfish)
Lineage: Eukaryota; Metazoa; Chordata; Actinopteri; Pomacentridae
Exons: 3
Source: RefSeq, a predicted model, not a curated record
UAACAUUAUGGUAUUGGCGAGAGCCGCAUGUGUGGUUCUUUUUAGAAACAUUAACACCAUGGCACAGCACAGAUUCAUUGAUAUUGGUGUGAACCUGACAGAUCCCAUGUUCAGAGGUCUCUACAGAGGGAAGCAGAAACAUGACGAUGACUUCAGCCAGAUCAUCGACAGAGCUCUACAGGUCGGAGUCGAAAAGGUAAUG